This is a long non-coding RNA of Rhineura floridana, 410 nucleotides long. RefSeq lists it as uncharacterized. Lineage: Eukaryota; Metazoa; Chordata; Lepidosauria; Squamata; Rhineuridae. The transcript has 3 exons. The record is from RefSeq and is a predicted model, not a curated record.
UACAUGCCACCUGGUACAGUUUGGCCCAUGAGCAGACCAUCAUGGCUGUUCCCUUCCUGCAUGACAGGUUGAAGUUUAUGUUCCUUCCCACUUAAAAACAGUCCUAGCCUGCAAGCUAUAGAAGUAUACUCAAAUAAAUUGUGGAUGUCAGAUUACCUGCGCAUGUGAAGGGUAUAGCCCUCCUGUUUUCCAGUAUGAAGGCAGACAAGAGACAAAGAUGUGUAAUAAGCAGAGAGCCUUGUUGGGGGAAGUAGCCAUCUUUGCACCCCAGACAACCAUAAUGCUCAAGAGGAGGACUGGGACAACUUACAUCUGCAGUGCUGAGCUGGUGAAUGGAUGAAAUCUCCAAGCGGUUUACAAAUCCCAAUGAGAAGGAAUUAAUGCAAGAAUCAAGAUAAGAAAUAGAAUAC